Molecule: long non-coding RNA, 974 nt
Filed under: Homo sapiens (human)
Lineage: Eukaryota; Metazoa; Chordata; Mammalia; Primates; Hominidae
Description: non-protein coding lnc-SPN-3:1
Source: RNAcentral
CUCGUGAUCCACCCACCUCGGCCUCCCAAAGUGCUGGGAUUAAAGGCGUGAGGCAAUGCGCCCGGCCAGGAGUUUUUACAAGGAGGAAGCUGAAGCUGGAAAGGCACGGAAAAGGAUCCUCCCCUAGAGCCUCAGAAGGAAGCAGCCGUGCGGACACCUUGGUGUCAGGCUUCUGGCUCACUGAACCAAGUCACGUACAAUCACAUUGUGAAACUUGGGAAACAACGCUUCCUUCCUUCAAAGUCAGUUCUGCUAUUCAUGUGGACCUAAUGUCUCUAGGAUCUUGUGCCCUCAUUAGUGGCCUGGAAGGACGCCCAGACCUUCCAGUUCAUCAGGGGUUGAAGUGGACGAUAGUUGUUCACCGUCAUCUUCUUCUCUUCACCAAGUGCAGAAAACAGGAGAGUACGAAAUGCAGAGAGCUGGAAUAGAGGGCAGCCAGGGUGAGCUUGGUAUGAGUGCAGGGUGAGCCAGCCCCCAGGUGUCCCUCAGGCCUUGUGUGGUCUCCUCCCAUGCUGAAUCAGGAUGGCCCGAAAUGACCAGUAAAGAUGGUGGAAGUGAUGGUGUGUGCAGGGCCAGCUUAUAAAAGGCAUUGCCGCUUCCGCCUUGGUCUUUAGGAUCACUUGCUCUGGGGGGAAGCUGGUCACCAUAUUGGGAGGGUACUCAAGCAGCCCCGAGGAGAGGCCCACAGGGAGAGGAGCUGAGGCUCCCAGCCAACUGCCAGCGCCAACUUGCCAUCCACUUGAGAGGGCCAACCUUGGAAUGAAUCCUCUAGCCCUAGUUGAGCUUUCAGAUCGCUACAGUCCCAGCUGACACUGGGCUACAAUUCAUGAAAGAUGGUAAGCCAGAGCCACCCAAAUUCACAACCCAAGGAAACUAUGGGAGAUAAUAAAUGAUUGGUUUUUGUUGUCAUUGUUGUUGUUGUUUGAGACAGUGUUUCCCUCUUGUUUCCCAGGCUGGAGUGUCAUUGGCAAGAU